AUAUAUAUAUAUAGGUAAUGAUUGCAAAUAUAACUAUAUAAUGAAUACAUGAGCCUUUGUCAGGGGAAGCAAUGCAGUGUCGUCAAUAAAAGAGUUGCGUAUUAUACAUAUAUCUAUCAAGGAUGAUCCAUUCUAUGGGAUCGUUUAAUCAUUUUAUGUUGUGUACUUGUAUUUGCGCAUAUAUAUGUAAUUCUUUUUCUAUUUUCACUUAUCGUUCGCUUAUUCGUCAAAUUUCUUUAAAUAUAAAGAAAAAAGAAAAAAAGGGAAAAGAGAAAACAACAAGUUUCGUUUUCUUUUUUAUAUCGUUGUCGUUCCAUUUCCCCUGUUCCUUUCAUUUUUCAAAAAUAAUGAAAAGAAAAUGCUCAAAAUCAUUAAAAGACAAUAUUGGCCUCGAUCGGUAAAGGUGAUAGCAACUAAGAGGACAAUGAAAAAUCUCAAGCUGCCUUCUAUACAUUUUAAGUCAUCACGUUUUAUAAAUCAAUUGAAUCAUUCGACCAUGUGAAGUAAUAUAUAUUUAAUAAACACUUAGAGAAUGUAACUUUCUCUGAUAGUAUGCAAUAAUUUUUGUAUUUCUUGAUAAUCGCAUUGAAAUACCAACCUCGUAAUCGUUCCAAAAGGCAUCCAUUGUCGUUUUUUAUUAUUAGAACCAAUGAAAACAAUUUCGAUACAUUAUUCAUGAUGAGUACGAGAUUAGUCUCUAUUUCUUUAUUAUUAUUAUUUUUUUUUAUAUUUUCUAUUUUUUUUUUUUUUUUUUUAUAUAUAUAUAUAUUUUUUUUUCUUUACAAACUAGCCCUUAGUUUGAUAUGGGUAAUAGAAAUCAUGUUUCUUCGUUCUCCUUUAUUCUAAUUUUCUUCACCGUCCAAAGUAACGUUCAUGGGUGAUUUUUAAUGAGUAUAUUUUAUACUUCUCUCUUUUUCGCGUAUCACGAAGUUUCCUUUCUUACAUUUAAUUCGAUUUUGUCCCUUGCUCGAGCAUCUCCAUGGAUAAUAGGAUUUUAUAAUUGAACAAGUUUCUCAAUAACCUCAAUGUGACGGAUAAAAAGGAUGAUUGAACGAAAAAAGUGUCAUUUAAUUCUAAGAUUGUUCAAUUUGGAAAUAUUAUGAUGUGUUCGAGCAAAGUUUAAAAAUUACCCAAUAUCUAUGUAUAUUUCUAAGGCUAAGGCUUCCUGUACAAAAUGAUGUCACAUGCUUAGAUCAUCAA
Molecule: long non-coding RNA, 1200 nt
Organism: Apis mellifera (honey bee)
Lineage: Eukaryota; Metazoa; Arthropoda; Insecta; Hymenoptera; Apidae
Exons: 2
Source: RefSeq, a predicted model, not a curated record